GAUGAACGCUGGCGGCGUGCUUAACACAUGCAAGUCGAACGGAAAGGCCCAAGCUUGCUUGGGUACUCGAGUGGCGAACGGGUGAGUAACACGUGGGUGAUCUGCCCUGCACUUCGGGAUAAGCCUGGGAAACUGGGUCUAAUACCGGAUAGGACGAUGGUUUGGAUGCCAUUGUGGAAAGUUUUUUCGGUGUGGGAUGAGCUCGCGGCCUAUCAGCUUGUUGGUGGGGUAAUGGCCUACCAAGGCGUCGACGGGUAGCCGGCCUGAGAGGGUGUACGGCCACAUUGGGAGUGAGAUACGGCCCAGACUCCUACGGGAGGCAGCAGUGGGGAAUAUGGCACAAUGGGCGCAAGCCUGAGGCAGCGACGCCGCGUGGGGGAUGACGGCCUUCGGGUUGUAAACUCCCUUCGCUAGGGACGAAGCGUUUUUGUGACGGUACCUGGAGAAGAAGCACCGGCUAACUACGUG
This 468-nucleotide ribosomal RNA is filed under the name uncultured bacterium. Its description in RNAcentral is "partial 16S ribosomal RNA". It matches the Rfam family "Bacterial small subunit ribosomal RNA", at positions 28 to 507 of the family's 1533-position model. The record is from RNAcentral.